RNAcentral lists this ribosomal RNA (270 nucleotides) under Escherichia coli. Its description in RNAcentral is "partial 16S ribosomal RNA". It matches the Rfam family "Bacterial small subunit ribosomal RNA", at positions 23 to 289 of the family's 1533-position model. The record is from RNAcentral. Lineage: Bacteria; Pseudomonadati; Pseudomonadota; Gammaproteobacteria; Enterobacterales; Enterobacteriaceae.
CUCAGAUUGAACGCUGGCGGCAGGCCUAACACAUGCAAGUCGAACGGUAACAGGAAACAGCUUGCUGUUUCGCUGACGAGUGGCGGACGGGUGAGUAAUGUCUGGGAAACUGCCUGAUGGAGGGGGAUAACUACUGGAAACGGUAGCUAAUACCGCAUAACGUCGCAAGACCAAAGAGGGGGACCUUCGGGCCUCUUGCCAUCGGAUGUGCCCAGAUGGGAUUAGCUAGUAGGUGGGGUAACGGCUCACCUAGGCGACGAUCCCUAGCUG